This 1183-nucleotide long non-coding RNA is filed under the name Chrysolophus pictus (golden pheasant). RNAcentral describes it as "lncRNA (ENSCPIG00010008238.1)". The record is from RNAcentral. Lineage: Eukaryota; Metazoa; Chordata; Aves; Galliformes; Phasianidae.
CUACUUUUUGGUGGACUUGUGUUGGCAUUGAGCUGGAAGAUGUUAAAGCACUCUGGUCCAACCAAGCUGAGGAUUUUCUUGUGCAUGGCCACACAGCGUAUUUUGUUGGCGACACUCCUUGACUAUUUGGAAACACUGAUAGAAGUUUAAACACAAGCUGUUCAUGAUUUUGCUUUCUAUAAUAAAGGAAAGCUCUUAAUUAAGAUUCACUAUGUUGUUAGUGUAUUGAUGUCACUUGGAGAUCUGAUUGUCAACAUCACCAGGAAAAGCCACAAGAUACUGCAUAAAGCCCAGAACAACUGAAAGCUGGAGGACUUCUUUCAGGAGACACAUUUUUCACUGGUUUAUCAGCCUGUGCUUUUAUGGAUCUUUUAUGGAUAUAAGGACAAGUUCGACUUCCUUCUCCGUUUAGCUGACAUCAUUUACAGUUGGAUGCACCAUAGACGGACGGAACGCCGAAAUAUUGCAGCUGCAGACGGAGCGAAGGGCCGCGAUCAGCGCAGCGUGAGCUCCCCCUGCCCGCCGCUGCGGGAGGAGCUGCGGUUCCCCUUCUCGGCCCUUUCCCCAUUUUCAUCUCGCCCCCUACAGCCCGUGAACGAAACGCACACCAGGUAUUUAAGGCUUCGACCUGUUUCGCUCCAAUAAUAAAAGAAUUGUUUGAAAAUGAUAUCAUAGAAUCACAGCGUGAGAAUCAUAGCGUGGUUGGAUUGGAAAGGAUUUGAUGCUCCUCUCUCCCCCCUGCCGUAGUCUGGCUGCCCCCCCAGCUCAGGCUGCCCGGUAUCCAUCCACAGCCUCGGGCACACGCAGGGGUAGGACAUCACAGCUCUGGGCAGUGCCUCACCGCCCUCACAUCUAACAUAAACAUCCCGUCUUUCCGUUUAAAGCCACUCCCCCUUGUCCCAUCGCUUAGGUCAUGUAAAAAGUCGCUCCCUCUCCUACUUACAAGCUCUCUUUAGGCACUGGAAGGCACAACGAGGUCUGCCCGGAGGGCAUCAGAUGUCAGAUAUUGCAUCAGUUGGAUGGCAAAGGUUAGAAAGAGAGAUAAAGCGGUGUUGUUCACAGCACAGAAGCGUCACAGAAGUUGCCUUGGGCUGCCAAAGUGGGGUAGCUGCAAAAAUCUUCUAGAGGAGCUGCCUGCUGUGCUGCCCUGGCGCUGGUAAGGGGCAGCGGUACCCCGCUCUGC